RNAcentral lists this ribosomal RNA (359 nucleotides) under uncultured Alphaproteobacteria bacterium. Its description in RNAcentral is "bacterial SSU rRNA". It matches the Rfam family "Bacterial small subunit ribosomal RNA", at positions 350 to 726 of the family's 1533-position model. The record is from RNAcentral. Lineage: Bacteria; Pseudomonadati; Pseudomonadota; Alphaproteobacteria.
AGCAGUGGGGAAUCUUGGACAAUGGGGGCAACCCUGAUCCAGCCAUGCCGCGUGAGUGAUGAAGGCCUUAGGGUCGUAAAGCUCUUUCGCCUGUGAUGAUAAUGACAGUAGCAGGUAAAGAAACCCCGGCUAACUCCGUGCCAGCAGCCGCGGUAAUACGGAGGGGGUUAGCGUUGUUCGGAAUUACUGGGCGUAAAGCGCGCGUAGGCGGAUUAGUCAGUUAGAGGUGAAAUCCCAGGGCUCAACCCUGGAACUGCCUUUAAUACUGCUAGUCUUGAGUUCGAGAGAGGUGAGUGGAAUUCCGAGUGUAGAGGUGAAAUUCGUAGAUAUUCGGAGGAACACCAGUGGCGAAGGCGACA